UGGGGAAUAUUGCGCAAUGGGGGCAACCCUGACGCAGCCAUGCCGCGUGAGUGAUGAAGGCCCUAGGGUUGUAAAACUCUUUCAGUGGUGAAGAUAAUGACGGUAGCCACAGAAGAAGCCCCGGCCAACUCCGUGCCAGCAGCCGCGGUAAUACGGAGGGGGCUAGCGUUGUUCGGAAUUACUGGGCGUAAAGAGCGCGUAGGCGGAUCGGUCAGUUGGGGGUGAAAUCCCGGGGCUCAACCUCGGAACUGCCUUCAAUACUACCGGUCUUGAGUUCGAGAGAGGUAAGCGGAAUUCCUAGUGUAGAGGUGAAAUUCGUAGAUAUUAGGAAGAACACCGGUGGCGAAGGCGGCUUACUGGCUCGAUACUGACGCUGAGGCGCGAAAGCGUGGGGAGCAAACAGGAUUAGAUACCCCCGUAGUCC
RNAcentral lists this ribosomal RNA (424 nucleotides) under uncultured prokaryote. Its description in RNAcentral is "bacterial SSU rRNA". It matches the Rfam family "Bacterial small subunit ribosomal RNA", at positions 355 to 796 of the family's 1533-position model. The record is from RNAcentral.